RNAcentral lists this non-coding RNA (783 nucleotides) under Nobia grandis. Lineage: Eukaryota; Metazoa; Arthropoda; Thecostraca; Balanomorpha; Pyrgomatidae. The record is from RNAcentral.
UUAUUAAUUAUAAAUUAAGUUUUUAGAUAAUUUUUUUAGAUCGUUGAGAUCUGUGUUGUAUUUUUAGCUUUUGGGUGGAUUUCACAUGUAAGUUUAGGCGGAAAGUUAUUUUUAGUAGAACUAAAAAAGAAAUUCUCAGUGAAAAGUAUUAGAAAUAUAAAAAUUUUAUAUCUAGGUAAUUAAAAAGAAGUGGAAAAUGGCGUGCCAGCAGCCGCGGUUAUACUCCUGCUUCAAGUUAAAAAUGGUAUACAAAAUUGUGUAUUAUAUUUUUUUGAAUUUUUUUAAAAUUGUAAGGUAGAAUUUCAAUUUUUAGAUAAGACAUAAAAAUAAUACAUAUUAAAUAUGUUAUGGACCAGGAUUAGAUACCCUGUUACUCAUAAAUAGAAAAUUUUGGAUUAGUAGUAGUUAUGAAAUUUAACGGAUUUGGCGGCAAGAUAGCCAUUUAGAGGAACCUGCCCUAUAAACGAUGGACCACGAAAUCCUUACUUUUACUUGUUAUUUAGUUUGUAUACCGCUGUUGUCAGUUAGUUUUUUUAGAAAUCUUUCUUUCAUGAUAAAAUCAAAGACUUCAAGUAAAGGUGCAGCUGAUGUAAAAGAUAGAGGUGGGUUACAUUUAAAAGAAUAAUACGAAUAAAGUUUUUGAAAUAUCUUUUGAAGGUGGAUUUAAAUGUAAAGUUUAUAAAAACUUGAUGAAGGCUCUAUCUUGUGUACACACCGCCCGUCGCUCUCCUUUUUAAACGAGAUAAGUCGUAACAAGGUAAGUGUAAUGGAAAUUGUACUUGA